GGAGUUAGCCGGUGCUUCUUCUGUGAGUGAUGUCCUUCCUGCCGGUUAUUGACCCGCAGGCCUUCUUCCUCACUGAAAGUGCUUUACAACCCGAAUGCCUUCUUCACACACGCGGCAUGGCUGGAUCAGGGUUGCCCCCAUUGUCCAAUAUUCCCCACUGCUGCCUCCCGUAGGAGUCUGGGCCGUGUCUCAGUCCCAGUGUGGCUGAUCAUCCUCUCAGACCAGCUACGGAUCGUCGCCUUGGUGAGCCGUUACCUCACCAACCAGCUAAUCCGACAUAGGCUCAUCCGAUAGCGCGAGGCCCGAAGGUCCCCCGCUUUCCCCCGUAGGGCGUAUGCGGUAUUAGCCUGGGUUUCCCCCAGGUUAUCCCCCACUACCGGGCAGAUUCCUAUGCAUUACUCACCCGUCCGCCGCUCGCCACCAGGGAGCAAGCUCCCCGUGCUGCCGCUCGACUUGCAUGUGUUAGGCCUGCCGCCAGCGUUCAAUCUGAGCAGAANACAACUACUGA
This 508-nucleotide ribosomal RNA is filed under the name uncultured bacterium. RNAcentral describes it as "partial 16S ribosomal RNA". The record is from RNAcentral.